GAUGAACGCUGGCGGCGUGCUUAACACAUGCAAGUCGAACGAAGCACUUAUCAUGAAGUUUUCGGAUGGAUUGAUAAAUGACUGAGUGGCGGACGGGUGAGUAACGCGUGGGUAACCUGCCUUAUACAGGGGGAUAACAGUUGGAAACGACUGCUAAUACCGCAUAAGCGCACAGUGCUGCAUGGUACCGUGUGAAAGGAUUUAUCGGUAUAAGAUGGACCCGCGUCUGAUUAGCUGGUUGGUGGGGUAACGGCCUACCAAGGCGACGGUCAGUAGCCGGCUUGAGAGAGUGAACGGCCACAUUGGGACUGAGACACGGCCCAAACUCCUACGGGAGGCAGCGGUGGGGAAUAUUGCACAAUGGGGGAAACCCUGAUGCAGCGACGCCGCGUGAGUGAAGAAGUAUUUCGGUAUGUAAAGCUCUAUCAGCAGGGACGAAAGAAGUUGAAAGACACUUCCUGACGGUACCUGACUAAGAAGCCCCGGCUAACUACGUGCCAGCCGCCGCGGUAA
RNAcentral lists this ribosomal RNA (513 nucleotides) under uncultured bacterium. RNAcentral's name for it is "partial 16S ribosomal RNA". It matches the Rfam family "Bacterial small subunit ribosomal RNA", at positions 28 to 523 of the family's 1533-position model. The record is from RNAcentral.